CGACCAUACAUGGGGAAAAACGGACAUGAGGGGGAAGAGUUAAAAACGCUUAAUGGCACAAAAAAUAUAUUUACAAAUGUACCAAUAAAAUAUAAUCACUAAGAUGUGAUUAUAUUUUAUUGGUACAUUUGUAAAUAUAUUUUUUGUGCCAUCCAGAGUUUUUAACUCUUUCUCCCCAGCCCCCCACGUCUGUUUUUUUCCCCCAUGUAUGGUCGU
Molecule: non-coding RNA, 216 nt
Organism: Pelobates cultripes (western spadefoot toad)
Lineage: Eukaryota; Metazoa; Chordata; Amphibia; Anura; Pelobatidae
Source: the annotation of a GenBank genome assembly